This 903-nucleotide ribosomal RNA is filed under the name Fusarium sp. RNAcentral's name for it is "partial large subunit ribosomal RNA". It matches the Rfam family "Eukaryotic large subunit ribosomal RNA", at positions 34 to 967 of the family's 3401-position model. Lineage: Eukaryota; Fungi; Ascomycota; Sordariomycetes; Hypocreales; Nectriaceae. The record is from RNAcentral.
CUAAGCAUAUCAAUAAGCGGAGGAAAAGAAACCAACAGGGAUUGCCCUAGUAACGGCGAGUGAAGCGGCAACAGCUCAAAUUUGAAAUCUGGCUCUCGGGCCCGAGUUGUAAUUUGUAGAGGAUGCUUUUGAUGCGGUGCCUUCCGAGUUCCCUGGAACGGGACGCCAUAGAGGGUGAGAGCCCCGUCUGGUUGGAUGCCAAAUCUCUGUAAAGCUCCUUCAACGAGUCGAGUAGUUUGGGAAUGCUGCUCUAAAUGGGAGGUAUAUGUCUUCUAAAGCUAAAUACCGGCCAGAGACCGAUAGCGCACAAGUAGAGUGAUCGAAAGAUGAAAAGCACUUUGAAAAGAGAGUUAAAAAGUACGUGAAAUUGUUGAAAGGGAAGCGUUUAUGACCAGACUUGGGCUUGGUUAAUCAUCUGGGGUUCUCCCCAGUGCACUUUUCCAGUCCAGGCCAGCAUCAGUUUUCCCCGGGGGAUAAAGGCGUCGGGAAUGUGGCUCUCUUCGGGGAGUGUUAUAGCCCGUCGUGUAAUACCCUGGGGGGGACUGAGGUUCGCGCAUCUGCAAGGAUGCUGGCGUAAUGGUCAUCAACGACCCGUCUUGAAACACGGACCAAGGAGUCGUCUUCGUAUGCGAGUGUUCGGGUGUCAAACCCCUACGCGUAAUGAAAGUGAACGCAGGUGAGAGCUUCGGCGCAUCAUCGACCGAUCCUGAUGUUCUCGGAUGGAUUUGAGUAAGAGCAUACGGGGCCGGACCCGAAAGAAGGUGAACUAUGCCUGUAUAGGGUGAAGCCAGAGGAAACUCUGGUGGAGGCUCGCAGCGGUUCUGACGUGCAAAUCGAUCGUCAAAUAUGGGCAUGGGGGCGAAAGACUAAUCGAACCUUCUAGUAGCUGGUUUCCGCCGAAGU